This 584-nucleotide ribosomal RNA is filed under the name Pasteurella multocida. RNAcentral's name for it is "bacterial SSU rRNA". It matches the Rfam family "Bacterial small subunit ribosomal RNA", at positions 60 to 631 of the family's 1533-position model. Lineage: Bacteria; Pseudomonadati; Pseudomonadota; Gammaproteobacteria; Pasteurellales; Pasteurellaceae. The record is from RNAcentral.
AGUCGAACGGUAGCAGGAAGAAAGCUUGCUUUCUUUGCUGACGAGUGGCGGACGGGUGAGUAAUGCUUGGGAAUCUGGCUUAUGGAGGGGGAUAACUGUGGGAAACUGCAGCUAAUACCGCGUAUUCUCUGAGGAGGAAAGGGUGGGACCUUAGGGCCACCUGCCAUAAGAUGAGCCCAAGUGGGAUUAGGUAGUUGGUGGGGUAAAGGCCUACCAAGCCUGCGAUCUCUAGCUGGUCUGAGAGGAUGACCAGCCACACUGGAACUGAGACACGGUCCAGACUCCUACGGGAGGCAGCAGUGGGGAAUAUUGCGCAAUGGGGGGAACCCUGACGCAGCCAUGCCGCGUGAAUGAAGAAGGCCUUCGGGUUGUAAAGUUCUUUCGGUAAUGAGGAAGGGAUGUUGUUAAAUAGAUAGCAUCAUUGACGUUAAUUACAGAAGAAGCACCGGCUAACUCCGUGCCAGCAGCCGCGGUAAUACGGAGGGUGCGAGCGUUAAUCGGAAUAACUGGGCGUAAAGGGCACGCAGGCGGACUUUUAAGUGAGAUGUGAAAUCCCCGAGCUUAACUUGGGAACUGCAUUUCAG